Molecule: transfer RNA, 71 nt
Filed under: Candidatus Pacearchaeota archaeon CG1_02_35_32
Lineage: Archaea; Nanobdellati
Also listed under: 6 other names
Description: tRNA-Ala
Rfam family: tRNA
About the family: Transfer RNA (tRNA) molecules are approximately 80 nucleotides in length.
Source: RNAcentral
GGGCUUGUAGUAUAGGGGUAGUACGUGCGGCUGGCAGUCGUGAGGUUUGGGUUCGACUCCCGGCAAGUCCA